UACGGAGGGGGCUAGCGUUGUUCGGAAUUACUGGGCGUAAAGCGCACGUAGGCGGCUUUGUAAGUUAGAGGUGAAAGCCCGGGGCUCAACUCCGGAAUUGCCUUUAAGACUGCAUCGCUAGAAUUGUGGAGAGGUAAGUGGAAUUCCGAGUGUAGAGGCGAAAUUCGUAGAUAUUCGGAAGGACACCAGUGGCGAAGGCGACUUACUGGACACAUAUUGACGCUGAGGUGCGAAAGCGUGGGGAGCAAACAGG
This 253-nucleotide ribosomal RNA is filed under the name uncultured bacterium. RNAcentral's name for it is "partial 16S ribosomal RNA". It matches the Rfam family "Bacterial small subunit ribosomal RNA", at positions 524 to 776 of the family's 1533-position model. The record is from RNAcentral.